RNAcentral lists this ribosomal RNA (551 nucleotides) under uncultured Diversisporaceae. Its description in RNAcentral is "SSU rRNA". It matches the Rfam family "Eukaryotic small subunit ribosomal RNA", at positions 548 to 1098 of the family's 1831-position model. Lineage: Eukaryota; Fungi; Glomeromycota; Glomeromycetes; Diversisporales. The record is from RNAcentral.
UUGGAGGGCAAGUCUGGUGCCAGCAGCCGCGGUAAUUCCAGCUCCAAUAGCGUAUAUUAAAGUUGUUGCAGUUAAAAAGCUCGUAGUUGAACUUCGGGGUCUACCCAUUGGUCAGGCUUAAUUGUCUGUACUGGUGAGAUGGAUCUCUACCUUCUGAGGAACUUUCAUGUCAUUUAUUUGGUGUGAUGGGAAAUCAGGACUGUUACUUUGAAAAAAUUAGAGUGUUUAAAGCAGACUAUCGUCUGAAUACAUUAGCAUGGAAUAAUGAAAUAGGACGGACUGAUUCUAUUUCGUUGGUUUCUAGGAUCACCGUAAUGAUUAAUAGGGAUAGUUGGGGGCAUUAGUAUUCAAUUGUCAGAGGUGAAAUUCUUGGAUUUAUUGAAGACUAACUACUGCGAAAGCAUUUGCCAAGGAUGUUUUCAUUAAUCAAGAACGAAAGUUAGGGGAUCGAAGACGAUCAGAUACCGUCGUAGUCUUAACCAUAAACUAUGCCGACUAGGGAUCGGAUGAUGUUAAUUUUUUAAUGACUCAUUCGGCGCCUUACGGGAAAC